This 74-nucleotide transfer RNA is filed under the name Micromonospora sp. C51. Its description in RNAcentral is "tRNA-Glu". It matches the Rfam family "tRNA". From Rfam's summary of the family: Transfer RNA (tRNA) molecules are approximately 80 nucleotides in length. The record is from RNAcentral. Lineage: Bacteria; Bacillati; Actinomycetota; Actinomycetes; Micromonosporales; Micromonosporaceae.
GGACCGGUGGAGCAAGCUGGCAGCUCGCCGCCCUCUCAAGGCGGAGGUUACGGGUUCAAACCCCGUCCGGUCUA